UCUCCCUCCCCCAAAGCCCCCUCCUCUGUUUUCACCCACACCAGCCCCUCCAUUUCUACUCCCUCUCCCCAGCCCUUGCUCCCUCACCUCCUAGUUUCUGAAUCGAAAUCACCUUGGCCUCCAGACGGGAAGCUACCUGGAGGCCCUUGGUGCCUUCCUGGGCAAUCCAAUCAGAGGUCAUUCUAGGAGCAGGAACCCUCAAGGAAGGCUCCUCAGAAAGGUGCUCUGACUGGCUGUGAGGUCUGCCAAGCAAGGGCCCUGGUGCUGCACAUGUCGCUGAGACCCAACAGCCAUAUACAGAAAUAGUAAUUGGCAAACGUUGACCUAUCUGUUAACAUAGACCUCGGCCAUCUGUGACAAGGACAAGGCAGAGAAACCCGUCCUAAGAGUGUCUGUGUUGACUCUGCGAAGACUCCAACCUGGGAGUCAGGCAAAUGCUCCUUCUGUCUGCUGUGCCCAGGGCCUGGCUUGCUGCUCUGCUCUGCCCUCUCCGAAAGGACCUCCUGUGUGAUCUGGACCCUAGAAUACGGUGCCUAGGAUGAGAGAUGUGUGAAGGAGGAGAGCAAGGAAAGAGAAAAGAAAAGGAACAAUGAGAGAGACUAGAGAAUCAGGUCCCUUGUGAACUCAGGAACAAGGAUAACAGAAAAAAUGGUCAUUUAUACAUUUUAAUCAGGAGUUCAAAUCUUUCGGCUGAAAGUAAUAGAAACACAACUGUAAUUAGCUUGAGCCUCAAAGGGGACAAUGUUGGCUCACAGAAGCUGACCAUGGGGACAGCAGAGAGGGAACAACUGGGUUCAGGGAGUGGAUACCCUGGGGACUCAUCCUCUCCUCUUGGCUGUUAGUUCCCCCACAGCUCUCAGGGCUGUGCCAGAGGAGGGAGCUCUGCCCGCCAGCUCCAGGUAGAAGGUUCUGGCAAACAGCGACACCAUUUUUCCGUUGUCUGGUUUCAGAAAUGUUAAACCUUGAUACUCUCAACCAUUGGUGAAGGAAUGGGAAAACAGAGACCCUAAUGCUCUAAUAUACUGCUGGAGGGGGUACAAAUGGUCCCAACCACUUUGGGGAGAAAUUUGACUACCUAUUAUGAUUUUAAAUGUGGGUACUAUUGAUUUGAUGAUGCCACUUCUCAAAAUCCAGACCAGUAACUCUCACACAUGUGCAUAAGGAAAUAUAGGCAAGGAUGUUAUUUGAGGUGUUAUUUGUAGCACAAAAUUAGAAAUAACUAAUGUCCAUUUUUAUGGUAUAUUUCACACUCUGAAAAUAUGGAAACUGUUAAAAAGAAUGAAAUGUCUACUGACAUAAACCCCGAAGCUGUCUUGAUAAAUGAAAAAAAUAAUUUGCAGAAUGAUACAUACAAUAUGGUAUCACUCAAGCGUAAAUGAAAACAAAAACAAAAGCUUGAAAUAAUAAUAGAUAUGUCUACAUGUAUGUUUAUAACGUAUAUUUCUAAAUGUCUCCAAAUGCGUAGAAGACGGUCUGGUGAGGGACUGAGAUUAGGAGUGAGGAUUGAAGGAGACUGUCAGGUGUGAAUUUUUUCGGUGAUGACAUAUUUAUGUAUAGUUUCUGUAUUUAGAAUUAGAAUUUAAAAGGAAAAAGCUAUGGAAGCAUUCUGAUUGGUUCAACUUGGGUCACGUGACUGUUCCUAGCCCAAUCCAUGUGGCCAAGGGGCCUCUAGGGUUCUAUGACUGGCGCCAUCUGGGUUACCCACUCACCCCUGUGAACACUGGAGCAAUACCCAUGAUCGGCAGCUCCUACUAUCAUUACGUGUUAUAGUGGGGAGGGAGCAAUUACCCCAAAGAAGGGAGGUGCUGUGCUGGGGCAGACAAAAUGGUAAAUCUCCUCUAUAGUGAAAGCAUUUGGGC
This 1859-nucleotide long non-coding RNA is filed under the name Equus asinus (donkey). RNAcentral's name for it is "lncRNA (ENSEASG00005028587.1)". The record is from RNAcentral. Lineage: Eukaryota; Metazoa; Chordata; Mammalia; Perissodactyla; Equidae.